GACAGAGGGUGCAAACGUUGCUCGGAAUUACUGGGCGUAAAGCGCGUGUAGGUGGCUCCGCGAGUCCGAUGUGAAAGCCCAGGGCUCAACCCUGGAAGUGCAUUGGAUACUACGGAGCUGGAGGCCUGGAGAGGUAAGCGGAAUUCCCGGUGUAGAGGUGAAAUUCGUAGAUAUCGGGAGGAACACCAGUGGCGAAGGCGGCUUACUGGACAGGUCC
RNAcentral lists this ribosomal RNA (217 nucleotides) under uncultured bacterium. RNAcentral's name for it is "partial 16S ribosomal RNA". It matches the Rfam family "Bacterial small subunit ribosomal RNA", at positions 524 to 740 of the family's 1533-position model. The record is from RNAcentral.